GGAUCCAGACUUUGAUUAUGGCUCACGAUGAACGCUAGCUACAGGCUUAACACAUGCAAGUCGAGGGGAAACGACAUCGAAAGCUUGCUUUUGAUGGGCGUCGACCGGCGCACGGGUGAGUAACGCGUAUCCAACCUGCCCAUCACUUGGGAAUAACCUUGCGAAAGUAAGACUAAUACCCAAUGACAUCCCACGAAGGCAUCCGAAUGGGAUUAAAGAUUUAUCGGUGAUGGAUGGGGAUGCGUCUGAUUAGCUUGUUGGCGGGGUAACGGCCCACCAAGGCAACGAUCAGUGGGGGUUCUGAGAGGAAGGUCCCCCACAUUGGAACUGAGACACGGUCCAAACUCCUACGGGAGGCAGCAGUGAGGAAUAUUGGUCAAUGGGCGAGAGCCUGAACCAGCCAAGUAGCGUGCAGGAUGACGGCCCUAUGGGUUGUAAACUGCUUUUAUAAGGGAAUAAAGUGAGUCUCGUGAGACUUUUUGCAUGUACCUUAUGAAUAAGGACCGGCUAAUUCCGUGCCAGCAGCCGCGGUAAUACGGAAGGUCCGGGCGUUAUCCGGAUUUAUUGGGUUUAAAGGGAGCGUAGGCCGGAGAUUAGGCGUGUUGUGAAAUGUAGAGGCUCAACCUCUGCACUGCAGCGCGAACUGGUCUUCUUGAGUACGCACAACGUGGGCGGAAUUCGUGGUGUAGCGGUGAAAUGCUUAGAUAUCACGGAGAACUCCGAUUGCGAAGGCAGCUCACGGGAGCGCAACUGACGCUGAGGCUCGAAAGUGCGGGUAUCGAACAGGAUUAGAUACCCUGGUAGUCCGCACGGUAAACGAUGGAUGCCCGCUGUUGGCCUGAAUAGGCCAGCGGCCAAGCGAAAGCAUUAAGCAUCCCACCUGGGGAGUACGCCGGCAACGGUGCAACUCAAAUGAAUUGACGG
This 924-nucleotide ribosomal RNA is filed under the name uncultured Bacteroidota bacterium. RNAcentral's name for it is "bacterial SSU rRNA". It matches the Rfam family "Bacterial small subunit ribosomal RNA", at positions 1 to 916 of the family's 1533-position model. Lineage: Bacteria; Pseudomonadati; Bacteroidota. The record is from RNAcentral.